Molecule: non-coding RNA, 937 nt
Organism: Hydra vulgaris (swiftwater hydra)
Lineage: Eukaryota; Metazoa; Cnidaria; Hydrozoa; Anthoathecata; Hydridae
Source: RefSeq, a predicted model, not a curated record
AUGCAGGCAAGCAUAGUUCUUCUAGUGCGGAAUAAAUCUGUGGUGGCAAACAUGUUAAUAUUAUUGUUUUUCUUUUGGAUUCGGGUACGUCCAUUGCAGUUAUGUAUGUUCGUAGUUGGCGGACGAACCGCUGAUGGUUGCCAUCGAAUACCGGUGGCAUAAUGGCCGAAAUAGCUUGUUUUAUCGUCGCGUCCAUUUAUAAUUUAAUAACGUUUAUAAUCUAUAGCUUUAUAUAUUCUUUCUAACCUCUUAUACAAAAAUCUUUUCUCUAUAUAUAUUAAAUUAAAAAGUCCCAUGAGAAUAUACUGUUAAUUACAGUUGAAAUAACUUACGUAGAUGCGUGACUUUCAACACGCAUCUACGUGAUUUCUAAACGUACAAUUCACCAACAUAAUAAUAGAACACAUACUCUUAAACUUCUUAAAUGCUCUAAAUUUCUUAUUUCUUAGAAAUACACUCAGUGUGUAGCAAAUCUCAAUGUCACUUUACAAAAUAUGAUUCCCCUGCAGGAUGCCUGUUAAAAAGAAAAACUGAAGAAACUUUAGAACUAGAUGAUGACAAUUGAAGAAGUUGAAAAACUGUUAUUCAUGGUGUCAUAUCGGGGCUUCAGUUCUCCAUGUUUGUUAGUUAUAUGCAAGAUAUGGCAUGGUAUGGCACUCUGCAUGUUUAUGAAAUGUAAUGAAAUGUAAAAUGUAAUGAAAUGAAGUGUAAAAGUGGGUGGAAAAACUAAAGAAGCGUAACGAUAAACUUUAAAGCAGAAUUUUGUCAUGCGAUUAUGGUGGCGAUAUGAAAGAACUAAUAUGGCAGUAUAUUACUAUCGUGAUUCCAAUAUGUUGUGUUUAUGAAAAUGAAAAAAUUAGAAGAUAAUCAAACCCAGAUUAUAAAUACAUUAGCAUCUCUGAUUGAUAGUGGAGAACAUGAUACAAAUGUUGGAGUG